This 439-nucleotide long non-coding RNA is filed under the name Gossypium barbadense (sea-island cotton). RNAcentral describes it as "long non-coding RNA (GBAR_LNC017288)". Lineage: Eukaryota; Viridiplantae; Streptophyta; Magnoliopsida; Malvales; Malvaceae. The record is from RNAcentral.
AAUCAUGCAAACAUGCCUCAAAUUGCAUCCAAAACAUGCUAACUUAUAACUAAACUUAUACCAACAUAUUUGACAUAUCGAAGUAUACUCAAAACAUGGUGGGGAAAAUUUUGAGAUAUGGCACCUAAGUCUCGAGAAAUAACAUAUGAGUUUCAAGACAUAGGAUCAUGUAUCGAUACACUGGCCCUAAGUAUCGAGACUUGGCUCCCAAUUUUUAAAUUCAGACCUCCAAACAAUGUUUUAAGGCCCAUUUGAGCUUAGAGUUUUGUUUGUAAUGAUUUAGUAUUGCUCAAAUUAAUGAAAUACUUGUUUUUAACUCUAGUUUAAAUGUGAAUUGAAUGUACGAGUGAUUUAUCAAUUGGGGCAUCAAAGUGACCCAUGUGGUACUCUUUAUCCAAACAGGCCUUCAAUCUGGGUAAGGGUUGCUAUGUAAUAGGAG